RNAcentral lists this ribosomal RNA (429 nucleotides) under Verrucomicrobiota bacterium. RNAcentral describes it as "Verrucomicrobia bacterium partial 16S ribosomal RNA". It matches the Rfam family "Bacterial small subunit ribosomal RNA", at positions 355 to 776 of the family's 1533-position model. The record is from RNAcentral. Lineage: Bacteria; Pseudomonadati; Verrucomicrobiota.
UAGGGAAUCUUCCGCAAUGGACGAAAGUCUGACGGAGCAACGCCGCGUGAGUGAAGAAGGAUUUCGGUUCGUAAAACUCUGUUGUUAGGGAAGAAAAAAUGUAUAGUAACUAUAUACAAAAGAGACGGUACCUAACCAGAAAUCCACGGCUAACUACGUGCCAGCAGCCGCGUUAAUACGUAGGUGGCAAGCGUUGUCCGGAAUUAUUGGGCGUAAAACUCGCGAAGGUGGUUUAGAAAGUCUGAUGUGAAAGCCCACGGCUCAACCGUGGAGGGUCAUUGGAAACUAAUAAACUUGAGUGCAGGAGAGAAAAGUGGAAUUCCUAGUGUAGCGGUGAAAUGCGUAGAGAUUAGGAGGAACACCGGUGGCGAAAGCGGCUUUUUGGCCUGCAACUGACACUGAGGCGCGAAAGCGUGGGGAGCAAACAGG